This 492-nucleotide ribosomal RNA is filed under the name Triticum aestivum (bread wheat). RNAcentral describes it as "partial small subunit ribosomal RNA". Lineage: Eukaryota; Viridiplantae; Streptophyta; Magnoliopsida; Poales; Poaceae. The record is from RNAcentral.
AUGUCGGCCGGUGAGAUGCGGAAGACGGCGUGCGUCACCGGAGGGAGUGGCUACAUAGCUUCAGCGCUCGUCGAGACGCUGCUGGAGAAGGGGUACGCCGUCAAGACGACGGUCAGAGACCCCGAGGACACGGAGAAGAAUUCCCACCUCAAGGACUUGCAAGCGCUUGGUCCCUUGGAGAUCAUCCGUGCCCGGUUGGACGAAGAAGGCAGCUAUGACGAGGCAGUUUCCGGGUGCGACUACGCCUUCCUCGUCGCUGCCCCGACGGACUUCGGGUCAGCAGACCCUGAGAGGGAUAUGAUCGAAGCCGCCGUCCAAGGAACCUUGAACGUGAUGAGGUCGUGCGUGAGAGCCGGAACGGUGAAGCGGGUGAUCCUCACGUCGUCGGACUCUGCGGUCUCCAUGAGGCCGCUGCCGGACGACGUUCAUGUGCUCGACGAGAGCUCCUGGUCCGACGUUGAGUACCUCAGGGCCAACAAACCAGAAACAUGA